GCCGCCGUAGCUCAGCCUGGGAGAGCACUCGACCUUUUUGGGGUGAUGCUGAAGACCGAGCUGUCGUGUGUUCAAGUCACACCGGCGGCA
Molecule: transfer RNA, 90 nt
Filed under: Nitrososphaerota archaeon
Lineage: Archaea; Thermoproteati; Nitrososphaerota
Description: Thaumarchaeota archaeon tRNA-OTHER
Rfam family: tRNA
About the family: Transfer RNA (tRNA) molecules are approximately 80 nucleotides in length.
Source: RNAcentral